CCUGGUAACUCAGUUGGUAAAGAAUCUGCCUGAAAUGCAGGAGACCCAGGUUUGAUUCCUGGGUCAGGA
This 69-nucleotide transfer RNA is filed under the name Bos taurus (domestic cattle). It matches the Rfam family "tRNA". From Rfam's summary of the family: Transfer RNA (tRNA) molecules are approximately 80 nucleotides in length. Their secondary structure includes four short double-helical elements and three loops (D, anti-codon, and T loops). Further hydrogen bonds mediate the characteristic L-shaped molecular structure. tRNAs have two regions of fundamental functional importance: the anti-codon, which is responsible for specific mRNA codon recognition, and the 3' end, to which the tRNAs corresponding amino acid is attached (by aminoacyl-tRNA synthetases). tRNAs cope with the degeneracy of the genetic code in two manners: having more than one tRNA (with a specific anti-codon) for a particular amino acid; and 'wobble' base-pairing, i.e. permitting non-standard base-pairing at the 3rd anti-codon position. Lineage: Eukaryota; Metazoa; Chordata; Mammalia; Artiodactyla; Bovidae. The record is from Rfam by way of RNAcentral. RNAcentral also lists the same sequence under 4 other names.